UUUAUCUCGUUAUAUCUCGUUUCAGUUUAUUUUGCUUUCCGUUUAUUUCUCUUUCAGUUUUAUCUCGUUUCAGUUUUAUCUCGUUUCAGUUUAUCUCGUUUUCAGUUUUCUUCUUUUUCAAUUUAUUUUUAUUUCAAUUUAUUUUAUUGGUCUUGAUAAGGAAAAUAGGUAAGUUCUCAAUUCCCUGUGGAUUUGAUCCUUUCACCACUAUCUGCAGUUGUAAAUUGUUGAUAACCAGAAA
This 241-nucleotide long non-coding RNA is filed under the name Manihot esculenta (cassava). RNAcentral's name for it is "long non-coding RNA (MESC_LNC002182)". The record is from RNAcentral. Lineage: Eukaryota; Viridiplantae; Streptophyta; Magnoliopsida; Malpighiales; Euphorbiaceae.